Molecule: non-coding RNA, 6401 nt
Organism: Peromyscus maniculatus bairdii (prairie deer mouse)
Lineage: Eukaryota; Metazoa; Chordata; Mammalia; Rodentia; Cricetidae
Source: RefSeq, a predicted model, not a curated record
GUUCACUCUCUGCUUUUAUGUUUGUCCAUCCAGCCUGCUGCUUCCUUCAGUGAUGGCCUUCUGUCCUUCUGGAGCUGUAAGCCAAGGCUCACCCCUUCUCCUGCGAUGGUUUGUCGCAGCAAUAGCAGCGUGACUAACAGACCUAGAAAUCUCUGUGUGAGAAAGGAAUGUCACAUUCCAAACUCUCACUUUUGUCACUCCACUCCUGCUGAGACCAGUGACACAAUGCCACAGAGGGAAGCACCAGGGAUAUCAUAUCCACAUAUUUAAGGAAAAGAAAACAAUUUUAAGACGUGAUCCAACUCAGAAAGGGAAGAACAACUUCUGGAGUUCCCCGGCUGUAGCACUCCGGAAUGCCACCAGCACCACAGAGUACUAUCAGUACCACCACAUUGACAGCCAUCAUUGUUGGAGCACUGUCUUCAGAGGCUUUCCAGUGUGCCAUAUGUUGGGCUAUGUGGCUACAGCAUGAGCUCGCAAUUUAUCUCAUAGUCCUCUGGGCUUGGUGUUAAUGUAGAGUCUUUCACAAUUGAGGCAAGUGAAGUCUACCACAUGGGCUGUUGGCACACAAGGUGUCUAGAAAGGUGGAGCCGGCUCUUCCAGAUCUGCCUGACUAUGUGGGCCAGGUGCCAACAGAGCCCCUCCUCUGGCUGGAGGUCCCAGGCUAUUGUACAACUAGUUACCGGGAGUGAACUCCCUAGUUGGAAAGAAGGAUAAGGGUAGGAGGACGUGAGGAUGCCCAGGACAAGCAGGCAGACAAUGGUACCCAUCAUGCAAUUCAGAAGGUUGUAGAGACUCUACAACUUGGCUUUUUAUCUGUGCCCUAUCAUCACUGGGAAAAACAUCACCAUGCAAUGCACAGCUCUGUCAACAUUGCAGUCAAUCAUUUUCUUGACAUCCUUGACUCCAGAGGCCUUCAGUUGGACUCUGUUUUAGCCACUUGCCCUCUUGGUAUACUUGCUCCAUACAUCCUGUAGAAGAUUCCCAUGUAGGCUACUCUCCCAUCAAUAUUUUCUGUCUUCACUGGACCUCAAUAAGACCCCCCCACAAACCUUCAGUCUGCCCUAGUUAUAUAUAAAUUUUGUCCUGUAUUUACUACUCACCCCCCAAACCAGUCUCAGCCCCUGGAAUAUGACCACUGCUCACUUCUUCAGCCUUGUUGCCUACUGCAGCCUUGGCCACCCUUGACAUCUGUACAUUCUUAGACUUAGCCUUUUCUACAGUGUUUGACAAAGACUAGACAGAGGUCAAGGCCCAAGUAAGGUCUUAUCUCUCUAGCUAACUAGACUUGCCAUCUCUCUAUCUCCCUAUCCCCAUGCCUAUCACUAUCCCAAUUCUUCCUCUCAUCUUUAUCUUUAUCAUCCCUAUCUCUCUCCAUCGUCUCUAGCUCUAUUAUCUUUAUCUCUAUCAUCUCUAUUUCUAUAUCUAUCACCUCUAUCUCUAUCCUUACUAUCUCUUCCUUUUGUUAUUGAAGAUUGAACCCAGGAUCUUGCAAUACUAACCCAUGCUCUUAUUACCACUGAGCUGUACCUCAAAUUUCUACAUGGUUUCUACAUAGUAUUUAUUCACCUUUAGGAACUGAAAAUCUGUUUUUAUCUGUUUCAAGACCAUUAGAACUUCAAGAUCAAUUGUUAUUGUUUCUUUUGAGACCUUCCUCACCACCCAGAAACCUCACAGGCCUAUGCUUCCUGAAGUCUCACGAUACUCUAAAUUGUACUACAAAUUAAAUACAUGUGCUCUGGCCAAGCCAUGCUUCCAAUGGAAGAGUUUAUCCUACACCUGAGAAACUUAUUAGUGGGGAGGAAAUGAGUGUCUCUCCUGCACCGUGUUUGGGCCUGGCUUGUUACCAAGCUCCAAGGAAGCUUCAUGAGUGGAAAUGGUGGGGAUCAAGUCUUUGAAAGUCUCUUUGACCACAAAUCUCCCAAGAUACCAGCAGUGACAGGGCCCUGGAGUAAAAAAAUUCUCCCUGCAUACUUCUUAGAGGAGCUGGUUGAAAAGCUGGUCAAGUGACUCAUUGGUCCCAGCCUCUGAUCCUGGCCAGACCUGCCUUCAGCUUCUGAAUUUCUGGAGAAGCCAGCAGGACGCCACGCAGGAAGUGACCUCAUGGUUAUUUUGGCCAUGUGGGUGGUGUUCAUCGCUGGUAGCAGCUGAAGUUUAUCAGAAGGUUUAGCCUUUGCACUUUGAGAAACCAACUAUUAUCUCACCCACAAUUUAGAAUAAUAAAAAGUACAUGGCAAAAAAAUGUGCAGUGAACCCAGAUAAAGACAACUGGGGAAGAACUUGCUGUUCCUGCCCACGUGACCCAGGGACACAGACAUCUGCACUCUGAAGCCGCACCAGGGAGGUGCUACCUGCACCAGCUUUGACAGAUUUCAUGGAGGGUAGGCUGAAAGUAGAGGAAAAAUACUUUUCUUCCUUCCUUCCUUCCUUCCUUCCUUCCUUCCUUCCUUCCUUCCUUCCUUCCUUCCUCCCUUCCUUCCUUCUUUCCUUUUCUUUCUUUUUUUUUAAGCUAAUAAUUCACGUUCAUCAAGUAAAUAAGAUACUAUUUAGUGAAAGAAAAAGAAAGGAUUUGGGCUGGACUUCAAGCAUUUUGUUAUACCUUUAAAAUUAUUGGGGCCAGAAAAGUGGUUCAAUAGUUAACAUUGUUGCUGUUUUCCCAGAGAACUACAGUUUAAUUCCCAGCACCCAUUAGGUCUGCUCACAACCACUUGUAACUCCAACUCUGGGUGAUCUGAUGCCCUCGUCUGGACUCCAUGGGCAUCGUCACACAUGUGUGCACACACAUACACAUAAAUAAAAAUAAAAUCAGUAUAUAUUAAUUGUACAAAGUAAUGGCUUAAUUAUGACAUUUACAUGCAUGUUUCUAAUGUACUCUGGUCAUAUUUAUUUUGUUACCCUCUCCAGCCUCCCCCUCUUUCUUUUUGCCUUCUCUAUCCUCAAUAGUCCACCUUCUACUUCCUUGUCCCUCCUCACAUCAGAUUGCAGACUGAGAGAACCAUGUACCAUUUGCGAGGCUGGCUUAUUUUGCUUAACAUGAUGUCUCCAGUUCAUCCAUUUUUCUGCAAGUGCAAUGGUUUCCUUCUAUGGCUAAAUAAAACUCUACUGUGUGCAUAGACCAUGUUUUCUCUACCCAUCUGUCUGUUGGAUCUAAAAAGAUAUCUUUAAAAAAGACUGAAUGAACAUAGAGCUGAAAGAUAAAGAGGUUGAUGUAAAAUGUGGACCAUCUCAGCCACCCUGCUCCUUGACAUUUCCCGCCACCGUCCAAGUGGGUAGAGAUGGGAUGAGAGAACUUCCGACCUCCACAGUGUGCCCUGUCUGCGAGCAGCCAUGGUUUGUGGGCUUGGUCCCUUCAAGAAGUCACAAUUACCAUCCAGUGUGACCACAGUUUAUUUGGAGUAUCACUUCUCCUUGGUGUCUCACAACUACCAUGGCUCUGCGGUGUGGAAGAGACUAUGAGGGCAGUUGUGUGUUUGCUAGUAGGAUUCCUGAAGGGAAGUCAACAAGUUCUCCAAAAGGAGCUUGUCACAACGUGAACUCACAGAGUGAGUGAAGGCUGCAUGGUAAUGGGAAGUUACUCACAUACCGUAACAGACGCUCACAGCCAUCUGGCCGUCUGGCCUUCUCUCCAUACCCACAUUACUUCUUGCUGUAAUGAGGUUAAUGGGAAUUAAUACAUAUGUAUUAGGGAAAGGAGAAGCCCUUAGGGAUAUGAGCUAAAUAUCAGUGCAGUGCUUCUCUAUAGGUAGAUGACAGGGUACUUGAGGGAGCACUGAGUAAUGGUUGAAAGAUAAAUUACACACAGGCUAGUCAAUAUCUUACCAAUUAAGCUUACUCUAUUCCUGAAGAGUACAUUUCUGAGAAAAACACUGGCAUCUAAGCAGUUCAAACAAUUACGUCUUACUGUGUCCUUUCAUGGGGCAAUUUCUUUACAUACUGACUUUCAUACAAAUAGACAACAGAAACAUAAAGUGUUUCAAAAUUGUGCCUGUGGGAAUGACAUUCAUUGACUAGUAAGAGGAAGCCAUCCCACAAGGCAGUGCUAGAGAAAGAAACCCCACAAAAUUUAUGAUGUACUGGACCAGGCUGCAUGUUCCUCGGCCACCUCCUAAGGAGCAAAGGAUUUGAUAGACUUCUUUACUCCCUGUCUUCUCUCUUCCCAUCAGUUGUCUCUAGUCCAUGCUAUUAAUUAUUUGUAUAGUGCCCAUGUUGCAAAAUAUAUAUCAUGCUUUAUGAGCACUGGACAGUGCUUCUCUGCAACUUAUAUCACGUGGCUCUAUCAGCCCACUGUCUAAACAUUCAUGCAGAGGCCUGCGUGAUUGUCCUGAUGAAUUGAUUUUGCUCAGCCUCCAUGUUCCUAUUAGAGCAGUGUUUUAUCUCUAUGUAGAUAUACACACACACUCAAUAUUCACUGGUGCUAAAAUAAAUAUUGUGACUUUGUGGAGAGAAUGGCCUCACGGAGUAAUAGGAGGCAUCAGAUGGUCCUUAUCAGUCACGCAGACAGGAGUGCAGCUUGGAGCUGGUUCAUCUUAUUGUUUGGGGUGCUUCCCCUUCCCCCCAACCUGGGGAAGGGUUCUGUUCUUCAUCAGAUCAAAUCCUGUGCAGUGCUCGUAGACAGUGUACAGGACAAAUCUCGAGAUAUUCGGUCAAGUCUAUCAGUUGGACUUGUUCAACAAAAGAUUUGCUCCCGGCAUUCAUCGACCUCUUAGCAAGUGUGUGUUAGGCUCUAUGGGAAAUUUCAAAGAGCUAGUCUUUAAAAAAUGAAAGCCAAAAUGGCUCAAGGUUGAAUUUAUUGUUUGAUUGUUUUACCAGCUAUAUUGAGAUCUAAUUCACAUAUCAAACAAUCCAUCCAUUCAGAGUGUUUGGAAUUGAACCUCAUCAUUGCCCCAAUUAUUUUGAGGACAUUUUAUCACCUAUAAGAGAAAUUUCAUACCAAUGAACAGUCACUUCUCAGUGUUCUCUCCUUAAGGCUACCUGCUCCAGGCAACCUAGUAAUCUAUCUUCUGCUCUAUGGUUUUGCUACAUCUGGAAUGCUUCUUACAAAUGGAAUCAAUAUGUGUUUAUUAUGACUGGCUUCUUUCACUGGGCAUAAUGUAUUUAAGAUUCCUGAAGUGUUUUAUCAGUACUUCAUUAUUUUUUACUGCUGAAUAAUAUUCCAUUAUUUUGGAUAUACCAUGUUUAUCGACCCAUCAGUUGAUGGGCACUUUGGUUGUGCUCACAUUUUGACUAUUAUGUAUAAUGCCCCAGUGAACGUUUGUGUAAAGUGUUUGGUUCCAAAAAUGAUACAAAUGUAUCCAUUUCUCUUGGGAACAUAUUAAAGAGUGCAAUUUCUGGAUAAUAUGACAAUUCUGUUUAAAUUUUAGAGGCAUUACCAAACUAUUUCCUAAAGUGUUGUACUAUUUUUAAUACCAUCAGUAGUGUGAAAGUGCUUUAAUUUCUCAACAUGCUUGCCAAUGCUUAUUGUCUUGGCUUUUCUAUGUCUUUUGUAGUGGAUGUGAACUAUGGUCUCAAAAUAGUUUUGAUUCUUGUCCCCCUGUGACGAAUAUUGUUGAACAUAUUUUUACAAGCUCAUCAGCUGUUUGUAUAUCUUCUUUGAAGAAUGUCUCCCUUAGAGCCAUUGCUCACUUAAAAUCUUCCCCACACAGUCCAGCUAUCCAGCUUUGGCAAUGUGUGUGCGUCUUUUGUUCUCUCCCAUCCGGUGUGUGUAGACCCAUCUUGGUGGUCUCUGUUGAACAGAGUCAUCUUAGCUUUGGUCAGGCCUACUUUGCCCAGGGCUAUUGCUUCCUUGUUCAUUUUUGUCACUUGUGCUUUCAGUGCUUUGGCUAAUGCAGGCUUAAAGAGUCACUCCUGUAAAUCCUCUCAAAAGCCUUCCAUUAUUGGAAGUUAGAAAUAUAAUAUCAAUACACAUAAAUCUCUAAGUAUUACUUUUGAAUUGUCUAUUUUUCUUUUCAUUUCUGUCAUGUUUUGCUUUGUCUAUUUGAGGGCUUAUUUAUUAUCUCUUAUAACUGUUAUAUCUUCUUCAAGAACUGGCCUUUUAAUUACAAUAUGUACUUCUUUAAUUCUGGUAACAACAUUUGUUUUCAAGUUGUUGGUCUGAUAUUAGUCCAGCCACUCCAACUUUCUCACACAUAUAUAUUACAAACAACAUACACGCAUGCGCACUCACGUGUGUGUGUGUGUGUGUAUUUCUGAAUAUAUAAAAGAUGCUUUAAAAAUGAAAAUGGUAAUCAUCCUGCAUGUAUUUCUUAUAAUCAAGCAAUUCUAGUUCAACAAUGUAGCAGAGGUAUGUGCAUAUGCAUAAAGAAACAGCAUAUACUAGAAAUAGAAUAUUCACAGAAGUAGUAUUUUUAAUAGCAUCAAGUUGAAAACAACUGAAAUGCCCAUUAGUGGAAUAGAUAAGAAAU